CAGUCGCCACGGGAAUACGUAGGGGGCAAGCGUUAUCCGGAAUUACUGGGUGUAAAGGGAGCGUAGACGGUUAAACAAGUCUGAAGUGAAAUGCCGGGGCUCAACCCCGGAGCUGCUUUGGGAACUGUAGAACUGGAGUGUCGGAGGGGUAAGCGGAAUUCCCAGUGUAGCGGUGAAAUGCGUAGAGAUGUGGAGGAACACCAGUGGCGAAGGCGACUCUCUGGUCUGUAACUGACGCUGAGGAGCGAAAGCGUGGGGAGCGAACAGGAUUAGAUACCCCUGUAGUCCCUGUCUCUUAUAA
Molecule: ribosomal RNA, 301 nt
Filed under: uncultured bacterium
Lineage: Bacteria
Description: partial 16S ribosomal RNA
Rfam family: Bacterial small subunit ribosomal RNA
Source: RNAcentral